Molecule: ribosomal RNA, 254 nt
Filed under: uncultured bacterium
Lineage: Bacteria
Description: partial 16S ribosomal RNA
Rfam family: Bacterial small subunit ribosomal RNA
Source: RNAcentral
UACGUAGGGGGCGAGCGUUGUCCGGAUUUAUUGGGCGUAAAGAGCUCGUAGGCGGUUCGAUAAGUCGGACGUGAAAUCUCCACGCUCAACGUGGAGGGGCCGUUCGAUACUGCCGUGACUAGAGGUCGGUAGGGGAGUGUGGAAUUCCUGGUGGAGCGGUGAAAUGCGCAGAUAUCAGGAGGAACACCCGUAGCGAAGGCGGCACUCUGGGCCGAUACUGACACUGAGGAGCGAAAGCGUGGGGAGCGAACAGG